This 73-nucleotide transfer RNA is filed under the name Mus musculus (house mouse). RNAcentral describes it as "tRNA-Ser". Lineage: Eukaryota; Metazoa; Chordata; Mammalia; Rodentia; Muridae. The record is from RNAcentral.
GGAGAGGUGCCUCAGUGGUUAAGGUCACUGGCUACUCUUCCACAGGACCCAGGUUCGAUUCCUAGCAUCUCCA